CCUGGCGGCACUAGCGCGGUGGUCCCACCUGACCCAAUGCCGAACUCAGAAGUGAAACGCCGUAGCGCCGAUGGUAGUGUGGGGUCUCCCCAUGUGAGAGUAGGGAACUGCCAGGC
Molecule: ribosomal RNA, 116 nt
Filed under: Pseudomonas aeruginosa
Lineage: Bacteria; Pseudomonadati; Pseudomonadota; Gammaproteobacteria; Pseudomonadales; Pseudomonadaceae
Also listed under: 1 other name
Source: RNAcentral